UACUCUUAAUCGAGGAAGUCCCUUCGGGGACAGGAUGACAGGUGGUGCAUGGUUGUCGUCAGCUCGUGUCGUGAGAUGUUGGGUUAAGUCCCGCAACGAGCGCAACCCUUAUUGUUAGUUGCCAUCAUUAAGUUGGGCACUCUAGCGAGACUGCCCGGGUUAACCGGGAGGAAGGUGGGGAUGACGUCAAAUCAUCAUGCCCCUUAUGUCUAGGGCUACACACGUGCUACAAUGGUCGGUACAAUAAGACGCAAGCCCGCGAGGGGGAGCAAAACUGGAAAACCGAUCUCAGUUCGGAUUGUAGGCUGAAACUCGCCUACAUGAAGCUGGAGUUGCUAUAAUCGCGAAUCACAUGUCGCGGUGAAUACGUUCCCGGGUCUUGUACACACC
This 390-nucleotide ribosomal RNA is filed under the name uncultured bacterium. RNAcentral describes it as "bacterial SSU rRNA". It matches the Rfam family "Bacterial small subunit ribosomal RNA", at positions 997 to 1391 of the family's 1533-position model. The record is from RNAcentral.